CAACAGUGCUGUUUAGAUCAGCUUUGUGUCCUCCCGUCCCAAGACUAAUGGCUCAGAAGGAAAGUCGGAGAGGAGGGGUUCUAGCUUUUCACUUACCGAAUGGCAAGGCCAACAAACCUUGUGCUGGAAGCUUCAAAUCCCAUAAUUACAAAGCUGACAGUUAACACACAGGUAAGCUACCCUUACUGACUGGCAAAGAAUGCAAACAUCUUCUCCAUGCGGCUGAGAGACGGGGGAGAUGGAGGUUAUGGUGCAGGUGCAGGAGUUGCCCCUCCACAUCUCCUGGGGUUGUGGGGGCAUACAGAUCCAUGACAGAUCGGUCUAACCUACACACAACAGAGAGAUGGAGUUGUUAUAAUACCCUUAAAGAGUCCAUGAUGCCAUGUAUCCGAACAAGAUGUACAAGACCUCUGGCAGAAAAACAGCCCCACAACAUUCAAGAUGCAGCACCACAUUUAACCGUAG
This is a long non-coding RNA of Myxocyprinus asiaticus (Chinese sucker), 465 nucleotides long. RefSeq lists it as uncharacterized. The record is from RefSeq and is a predicted model, not a curated record. The transcript has 3 exons. NCBI's taxonomy places the organism in Eukaryota, Metazoa, Chordata, Actinopteri, Cypriniformes, Catostomidae.